CCUACGGGAGACAGCAGUGAGGAAUAUUGGUCAAUGGACGAGAGUCUGAACCAGCCAAGUAGCGUGAAGGAUGACUGCCCUAUGGGUUGUAAACUUCUUUUAUCUGGGAAUAAAACGUUCCACGUGUGGGAUUUUGUAUGUACCAUAUGAAUAAGGAUCGGCUAACUCCGUGCCAGCAGCCGCGGUAAUACGGAGGAUCCGAGCGUUAUCCGGAUUUAUUGGGUUUAAGGGGAGCGUAGGUGGAUUGUUAAGUCAGUUGUGAAAGUUUACGGCUCAACCGUAAAAUUGCAGUUGAAACUGGCAGUCUUGAGUACAGUAGAGGUGGGCGGAAUUCGUGGUGUAGCGGUGAAAUGCUUAGAUAUCACGAAGAACUCCGAUUGCGAAGGCAGUUCACUGGACUGCAACUGACACUGAGGCUCGAAAGUGUGGGUAUCAAACAGGAUUAGAUACCCUAGUAGUC
RNAcentral lists this ribosomal RNA (460 nucleotides) under uncultured bacterium. Its description in RNAcentral is "partial 16S ribosomal RNA". It matches the Rfam family "Bacterial small subunit ribosomal RNA", at positions 338 to 795 of the family's 1533-position model. The record is from RNAcentral.